RNAcentral lists this ribosomal RNA (459 nucleotides) under uncultured bacterium. RNAcentral's name for it is "partial 16S ribosomal RNA". It matches the Rfam family "Bacterial small subunit ribosomal RNA", at positions 338 to 795 of the family's 1533-position model. The record is from RNAcentral.
CCUACGGGAGGCAGCAGUGAGGAAUAUUGGUCAAUGGUCGGGAGCCUGAACCAGCCAAGCCGCGUGAGGGAAGAAGGUCCAGCGUAUCGUAAACCUCUUUUGUCAGGGAACAAAGGCGGGGACUAGUCCCCGGAUGAGGGUACCUGAAGAAAAAGCAUCGGCUAACUCCGUGCCAGCAGCCGCGGUAAUACGGAGGGUGCGAGCGUUAUCCGGAUUUAUGGGGUUGAAAGGGUGCGCAGGCGGCCUGUUAAGUCAGCGGUAAAAGCCCGGGGCUCAACCCCGGCGAGCGGUUGACACUGGCGUGCUGGAGUUGGAGAGACGUACGCGGAAUGCGCGGUGUAGCGGUGAAAUGCUUAGAUAUCGCGCAGAACCCCGAUUGCGAAGGCAGCGUACCGGCUCCACACUGACGCUGAGGCACGAAAGCGUGGGUAUCGAACAGGAUUAGAUACCCCAGUAGUC